AAUGAUAAGAUUUAUGAUGACUAUUGAUUUUUCUUUAAACUGUAGAGAAGGUAUAGAGAAAAGGCAUGGGAAUGUGAGGAAAAAGAUCGGUUGAAUAAAUGUGUCAUAUUUAAUCUCUUGAAAGUUUGUUGUUUAAAGAAAAUGGGCUUCGUUGUAAUAUGAUUAGAGAACGGGCUUCGAUUAAAGUUGGAUUUUAUUUAGGCUUGUUAAACUCAAAGUGAUGUGUAACUUUGAUUGGAUAGAAAUAUUUUUACUGAUGUGGCAUAGCUUAGGAAUCUCUAAAUUAGUUCCUUUUAUAUAGUAGAGAUAAUUUUUUCAGUUUCAGAAAAUGAAGGAUUGAUUUUUUUUGUUUAAUGAUAACGGAAAAACCGUUUGUUUUAGUUAUUUGUCCUGUAUUGAAACUUCAUCUUAUUUUUAAAUUCAUCCACGUGUUUUGUUUUUUUAUUUUUCUGGAAAUUUUUGUUUUAAAGAUUUUCCACAUGUUAGGAUUGGGCGUGCGACUUGCGCUUUAGUAUAUAGUGGAUAGAAAUUUUUCAAACUUCAUAUAUGGUUGACAUCUAAGCGAAAAUUAACUAAAUGACUUAUUUUUUUAAUAUUUAGUAUAAUGCACAAAUAGUUUUUGAUUGAAUAUA
This 632-nucleotide long non-coding RNA is filed under the name Brassica rapa (field mustard). RNAcentral's name for it is "long non-coding RNA (BRAP_LNC005195)". Lineage: Eukaryota; Viridiplantae; Streptophyta; Magnoliopsida; Brassicales; Brassicaceae. The record is from RNAcentral.